This is a non-coding RNA of Myotis brandtii (Brandt's bat), 103 nucleotides long. Lineage: Eukaryota; Metazoa; Chordata; Mammalia; Chiroptera; Vespertilionidae. The record is from Rfam.
AAUUACGAAAUUAAUAAUGUACCAAAAUUGGAAUGAUACAGAGAAGAUGGGUAUGACCCUGUGCAAGGGUGACAUGCAAGUUCGUAAAGUGUUCCAUAUUUUU